RNAcentral lists this ribosomal RNA (352 nucleotides) under uncultured bacterium. RNAcentral's name for it is "bacterial SSU rRNA". It matches the Rfam family "Bacterial small subunit ribosomal RNA", at positions 8 to 349 of the family's 1533-position model. The record is from RNAcentral.
AGAGUUUGAUCAUGGCUCAGGAUGAACGCUAGCUACAGGCUUAACACAUGCAAGUCGAGGGGAAACGACAUCGAAAGCUUGCUUUUGAUGGGCGUCGACUGGCGCACGGGUGAGUAACGCGUAUCCAACCUGCCCACCACUUGGGGAUAACCUUGCGAAAGUAAGACUAAUACCCAAUGACGUCUCUAGAAGACAUCUGAAAAGAGAUUAAAGAUUUAUCGGUGAUGGAUGGGGAUGCGUCUGAUUAGCUUGUUGGCGGGGUAACGGCCACCAAGGCUACGAUCAGUAGGGGUUCUGAGAGGAAGGUCCCCCANAUUGGAACUGAGACACGGUCCAAACUCCUACGGGAGCA